GUAAUGAUGGCCAGGCUGUCUCCACCCGAGACUCAGUGAAAUUGAACUCGCUGUGAAGAUGCAGUGUACCCGCGGCAAGACGGAAAGACCCCGUGAACCUUUACUAUAGCUUGACACUGAACAUUGAGCCUUGAUGUGUAGGAUAGGUGGGAGGCUUUGAAGUGUGGACGCCAGUCUGCAUGGAGCCGACCUUGAAAUACCACCCUUUAAUGUUUGAUGUUCUAACGUUGGCCCGUAAUCCGGGUUGCGGACAGUGUCUGGUGGGUAGUUUGACUGGGGCGGUCUCCUCCUAAAGAGUAACGGAGGAGCACGAAGGUUGGCUAAUCCUGGUCGGACAUCAGGAGGUUAGUGCAAUGGCAUAAGCCAGCUUGACUGCGAGCGUGACGGCGCGAGCAGGUGCGAAAGCAGGUCAUAGUGAUCCGGUGGUUCUGAAUGGAAGGGCCAUCGCUCAACGGAUAAAAGGUACUCCGGGGAUAACAGGCUGAUACCGCCCAAGAGUUCAUAUCGACGGCGGUGUUUGGCACCUCGAUGUCGGCUCAUCACAUCCUGGGGCUGAAGUAGGUCCCAAGGGUAUGGCUGUUCGCCAUUUAAAGUGGUACGCGAGCUGGGUUUAGAACGUCGUGAGACAGUUCGGUCCCUAUCUGCCGUGGGCGCUGGAGAACUGAGGGGGGCUGCUCCUAGUACGAGAGGACCGGAGUGGACGCAUCACUGGUGUUCGGGUUGUCAUGCCAAUGGCACUGCCCGGUAGCUAAAUGCGGAAGAGAUAAGUGCUGAAAGCAUCUAAGCACGAAACUUGCCCCGAGAUGAGUUCUCCCUGACUCCUUGAGGGUCCUGAAGGAACGUUGAAGACGACGACGUUGAUAGGCCGGGUGUGUAAGCGCAGCGAUGCGUUGAGCUAACCGGUACUAAUGAACCGUGAGGCUUAACCUU
Molecule: ribosomal RNA, 930 nt
Filed under: human gut metagenome
Description: bacterial LSU rRNA
Rfam family: Bacterial large subunit ribosomal RNA
Source: RNAcentral